This 97-nucleotide transfer RNA is filed under the name Actinoplanes xinjiangensis. Its description in RNAcentral is "tRNA-Pro". Lineage: Bacteria; Bacillati; Actinomycetota; Actinomycetes; Micromonosporales; Micromonosporaceae. The record is from RNAcentral.
GGCGCCGAUGGCCAGGUAGCGGAGGACCGCGUCCCCGGACGGCACGUUCGCGAUCGGCAGCUGGUUGAGAUCCGGGUUCUGGACCUGGGACACCGCC